GCCAGCGUAGCUCAACGGUAGAGCCCCGCUUUUGUAAAGCGGUGGUUGUGGGUUCGAUUCCCUCCGCUGGCU
RNAcentral lists this transfer RNA (72 nucleotides) under Phycisphaerae bacterium. Its description in RNAcentral is "tRNA-Thr". It matches the Rfam family "tRNA". From Rfam's summary of the family: Transfer RNA (tRNA) molecules are approximately 80 nucleotides in length. RNAcentral also lists the same sequence under 1 other name. Lineage: Bacteria; Pseudomonadati; Planctomycetota; Phycisphaerae. The record is from RNAcentral.